Molecule: transfer RNA, 68 nt
Filed under: Marmota monax (woodchuck)
Lineage: Eukaryota; Metazoa; Chordata; Mammalia; Rodentia; Sciuridae
Description: tRNA.Ala
Source: RNAcentral
GGACUGUAGCUCAGUGGUAGAGCACUUGCCUGGCAGGUUUGGGGCCCUGGAUUCGAUCCUCAGCACCA